CACGUAGGCACCAAGCGUUGUCCGGAUUUAUUGGGCGUAAAGGGUGUGUAGGUGGCGCGCUAAGUCGGGUGUGAAAUUUCGGAGCUUAACUCCGAAACUGCAUUCGAUACUGGCGUGCUUGAGGACUGGAGAGGAGACUGGAAUUCAUGGUGUAGCAGUGAAAUGCGUAGAGAUCAUGAGGAAGACCAGUGGCGAAGGCGGGUCUCUGGACAGUUCCUGACACUGAGACACGAAGGCCAGGGGAGCAAACGGG
Molecule: ribosomal RNA, 253 nt
Filed under: uncultured bacterium
Lineage: Bacteria
Description: partial 16S ribosomal RNA
Rfam family: Bacterial small subunit ribosomal RNA
Source: RNAcentral